ACCUGCGGAGGGAUCAUUAUUAGAAGCCGAAAGGCUACUUAAAACCAUCGCGAACUCGUCCAAGUUGCUUCGGCGGCGCGGCCUCCCUCACGGGGGCGCCGCAGCCCCGCCUCUCCGGAGGUGUGGGGCGCCCGCCGGAGGUACGAAACUCUGUAUUAUAGUGGCAUCUCUGAGUAAAAAACAAAUAAGUUAAAACUUUCAACAACGGAUCUCUUGGUUCUGGCAUCGAUGAAGAACGCAGCGAAAUGCGAUAAGUAAUGUGAAUUGCAGAAUUCAGUGAAUCAUCGAAUCUUUGAACGCACAUUGCGCCCGCUAGUACUCUAGCGGGCAUGCCUGUUCGAGCGUCAUUUCAACCCUCAAGCCCUGCUUGGUGUUGGGGCCCUACGGCUGCCGUAGGCCCUGAAAGGAAGUGGCGGGCUCGCUACAACUCCGAGCGUAGUAAUUCAUUAUCUCGCUAGGGACGUUGCGGCGCGCUCCUGCCGUUAAAGACCAUCUUAACUCAAGGUGACCUCGG
RNAcentral lists this ribosomal RNA (514 nucleotides) under fungal endophyte sp. ECD-2008. RNAcentral describes it as "eukaryotic LSU rRNA". The stretch from base 194 to 347 matches the Rfam family "5.8S ribosomal RNA". The record is from RNAcentral. Lineage: Eukaryota; Fungi.